This 430-nucleotide ribosomal RNA is filed under the name Pseudomonadota bacterium. Its description in RNAcentral is "Proteobacteria bacterium partial 16S ribosomal RNA". It matches the Rfam family "Bacterial small subunit ribosomal RNA", at positions 355 to 776 of the family's 1533-position model. Lineage: Bacteria; Pseudomonadati; Pseudomonadota. The record is from RNAcentral.
UGGGGAAUAUUGGACAAUGGGCGAAAGCCUGAUCCAGCCAUGCCGCGUGUGUGAAGAAGGCCUUAUGGUUGUAAAGCACUUUAAGCGAGGAGGAGGGUACUGGUAUUAAUACUACCAGGUACUGGACGUUACUCGCAGAAUAAGCACCGGCUAACUCUGUGCCAGCAGCCGCGGUAAUACAGAGGGUGCGAGCGUUAAUCGGAGUUACUGGGCGUAAAGCGUGCGUAGGCGGCUAAUUGAGUCGGAUGUGAAAUCCCCGAGCUUAACUUGGGAAUUGCAUUCGAUACUGGUUAGCUAGAGUGUGGGAGAGGAUGGUAGAAUUCCAGGUGUAGCGGUGAAAUGCGUAGAGAUCUGGAGGAAUACCGAUGGCGAAGGCAGCCAUCUGGCCUAACACUGACGCUGAGGUACGAAAGCAUGGGGAGCAAACAGG